UGGGUAGGUUGGUGGCUUUGUCAGUGGUGAUGGAUGAUACUGACUUAACUGCAUUUGCAUUUUAUCUGGAAUCAACAUAUAUUACACACAGUGAAUUUCAUAUUUAGCAAACAAAAUUACUGGAAUCCAUAUCCUUCCAAGAGGAUGCCUUUAUUCCAUUGAAAGGCCUUUGAUAAAAGGAACUGAAAGGCUUUUCCCUGCCUUCUACUGUAUCAAACUUGAUCACCUCCAAUUUUCCAGGCACUGCUUGAUCCCUACGAGUUAUAUGACUUCUCUGUAAAUUUGACGUUGUAGGAAUCCAUAAUUCACAGGACACUGGAUAGUCAUAGAUAAAUCUGUGGAUAUUAAAUGUGAGCGUACAAACAGGUUUUUAAAAGAAAUAAUUCAUAUAAGUAAUAAGACAUUAAAGUAAGUUUAUUUAGGUACAAGUACACAUUAGUACAAUUAUCAAACAUAGUGUAAAUUACUCGCCAGGAAAACCCAAAAAAGUUGGACACUUCACUAUGUACUUAAAAUAUGUAGAUGUAGGACCCCUAUUGGUUUGCUGCUUAUCUGUGAAUAUAAUAAUAGUUGAAGCUAUGAAGAAGUUCAUUCAGUAAUGCUAGUCAUUGGCAGGAGUGUGCAAGUGCAGUGAGUUGCAAGAUCUUGAGGUGGUCUUUCCAUCACGUGGUAUAUAAAAACAAGACACAGGAGGGACGUGCCUUUAGUCUCUCGUCAACACUGCUCUUAAGAAGGUGUUGUGUGCAUCAGUGCCAGACUGCUAGACAAAUAGGAAUUCCAAAAUUCAAAAUGCGUUACUCCCUGCUGGUAUUUUUGAUGAUUGUAGUGGCUGUUGCUUCUGCUGGUAUCCUCCCAGGAUCUGGUUUUGGAAUGCCACCUGGAGUGCCCAGUGAAUAAAAUCUCAGUGUUGACCCUCAGUGCUCAAGACAUAUAACAUACAACUAUAUUGACAUGUAGUACUGAAGGUCUGCACGGCACCAUGGUGUCCAAGCUGUAUAUCGUCCCUGACUUCUGUAAUCUUUGUCAUACAGAUUAAGGCUUCACUCCUCUUAAACAUGUAUCUAACUGUAAGCUUUGGGAAAAUAAUGAGAAAUUACAAAGUGUAAUCCUUACUGUUUUAUUCGUCAGUCAUUUCGUAUCACUAAAAUUGAAAAUCUAUUUAGCAUGCCUUCAAGUGUUACUGUCUCAGCACCUGUGCCAGAACUCCACUUACAUAAUUGUAAAAUUGUGAGACAUACUUCUUAAAAGAAAGAAAAGAUUUAAUAUGUUCAAGAUAAUUAUAAAUUAUAAAUUUAGUGAAAGUAAUUUUACAUUGUUUAAGUAACUGCCAUGUACUACACACCAAGAAGUCUAGAUAGUUUUGUUAAAGUAUAGGAAGGAAGUUUAGAAUGCCUGGUGUAAAUAGCAGUGGGAGACUUUCUUAUACAUAUUUAGAAAAAAAAUUUACGAUAGGUAAGAGAGUACAGUACUACAUGUUUAAAGUAAAAGAUGACUUAGUGCUUUAAAUGAGGUAAUGAUGUGUCUCAAUAAUCAAUCUUUUGGACUAUGGACUGAUAGAUAAAGGUUGAAGAGGUUAUCAUACGGAUGUGCAUGAUAGAGUGUACAUUUUUGUUAGAAGAGCAACUGAUAUGUAAGAUAAGAAGGCUGUCAGGAGGUAAAGAAGAGUAAAAAUGCAUAAAAACUAAAAAAAUAAAUGAACGAAAAUGCUGAA
Long non-coding RNA from Cherax quadricarinatus, 1711 nucleotides. RefSeq lists it as uncharacterized. The record is from RefSeq and is a predicted model, not a curated record. Lineage: Eukaryota; Metazoa; Arthropoda; Malacostraca; Decapoda; Parastacidae.